GGAAAGAAAAGGAUUUGACCUUCAUGACCGAGGCUACAACUCGACGCCUAAUUCAGCCACCUUACC
This 66-nucleotide transfer RNA is filed under the name Pseudoeurycea rex (royal false brook salamander). RNAcentral describes it as "tRNA-Tyr". Lineage: Eukaryota; Metazoa; Chordata; Amphibia; Caudata; Plethodontidae. The record is from RNAcentral.